GGCAACAUGGCCGAGUGGUCUAAGGCGCUGGAAUUAGGUGGUUUACACUGUCAAUCUCCCAUCCAGUCUUUCGAGGCGAGGGUUCGAAUCCCUCUGUUGUCA
Molecule: transfer RNA, 102 nt
Filed under: Laccaria bicolor S238N-H82
Lineage: Eukaryota; Fungi; Basidiomycota; Agaricomycetes; Agaricales; Hydnangiaceae
Rfam family: tRNA
About the family: Transfer RNA (tRNA) molecules are approximately 80 nucleotides in length. Their secondary structure includes four short double-helical elements and three loops (D, anti-codon, and T loops). Further hydrogen bonds mediate the characteristic L-shaped molecular structure. tRNAs have two regions of fundamental functional importance: the anti-codon, which is responsible for specific mRNA codon recognition, and the 3' end, to which the tRNAs corresponding amino acid is attached (by aminoacyl-tRNA synthetases). tRNAs cope with the degeneracy of the genetic code in two manners: having more than one tRNA (with a specific anti-codon) for a particular amino acid; and 'wobble' base-pairing, i.e. permitting non-standard base-pairing at the 3rd anti-codon position.
Source: Rfam by way of RNAcentral